GUAGUCGAUGGGAAACAGGUUAAUAUUCCUGUACUUGGUGUUACUGCGAAGGGGGGACGGAGAAGGCUAUGUUGGCCGGGCGACGGUUGUCCCGGUUUAAGCGUGUAGGCUGGUUUUCCAGGCAAAUCCGGAAAAUCAAGGCUGAGGCGUGAUGACGAGGCACUACGGUGCUGAAGCAACAAAUGCCCUGCUUCCAGGAAAAGCCUCUAAGCAUCAGGUAACAUCAAAUCGUACCCCAAACCGACACAGGUGGUCAGGUAGAGAAUACCAAGGCGCUUGAGAGAACUCGGGUGAAGGAACUAGGCAAAAUGGUGCCGUAACUUCGGGAGAAGGCACGCUGAUAUGUAGGUGAAGUCCCUCGCGGAUGGAGCUGAAAUCAGUCGAAGAUACCAGCUGGCUGCAACUGUUUAUUAAAAACACAGCACUGUGCAAACACGAAAGUGGACGUAUACGGUGUGACGCCUGCCCGGUGCCGGAAGGUUAAUUGAUGGGGUUAGCGCAAGCGAAGCUCUUGAUCGAAGCCCCGGUAAACGGCGGCCGUAACUAUAACGGUCCUAAGGUAGCGAAAUUCCUUGUCGGGUAAGUUCCGACCUGCACGAAUGGCGUAAUGAUGGCCAGGCUGUCUCCACCCGAGACUCAGUGAAAUUGAACUCGCUGUGAAGAUGCAGUGUACCCGCGGCAAGACGGAAAGACCCCGUGAACCUUUACUAUAGCUUGACACUGAACAUUGAGCCUUGAUGUGUAGGAUAGGUGGGAGGCUUUGAAGUGUGGACGCCAGUCUGCAUGGAGCCGACCUUGAAAUACCACCCUUUAAUGUUUGAUGUUCUAACGUUGACCCGUAAUCCGGGUUGCGGACAGUGUCUGGUGGGUAGUUUGACUGGGGCGGUCUCCUCCUAAAGAGUAACGGAGGAGCACGAAGGUUGGCUAAUCCUGGUCGGACAUCAGGAGGUUAGUGCAAUGGCAUAAGCCAGCUUGACUGCGAGCGUGACGGCGCGAGCAGGUGCGAAAGCAGGUCAUAGUGAUCCGGUGGUUCUGAAUGGAAGGGCCAUCGCUCAACGGAUAAAAGGUACUCCGGGGAUAACAGGCUGAUACCGCCCAAGAGUUCAUAUCGACGGCGGUGUUUGGCACCUCGAUGUCG
Molecule: ribosomal RNA, 1138 nt
Filed under: Escherichia coli
Lineage: Bacteria; Pseudomonadati; Pseudomonadota; Gammaproteobacteria; Enterobacterales; Enterobacteriaceae
Description: partial 23S ribosomal RNA
Rfam family: Bacterial large subunit ribosomal RNA
Source: RNAcentral